RNAcentral lists this ribosomal RNA (478 nucleotides) under uncultured bacterium. RNAcentral's name for it is "partial 16S ribosomal RNA". It matches the Rfam family "Bacterial small subunit ribosomal RNA", at positions 28 to 507 of the family's 1533-position model. The record is from RNAcentral.
GAUGAACGCUGGCGGCGUGCUUAACACAUGCAAGUCGAACGAGAAAUGGAGACGGAAACCUUCGGGCGGAAGACUUUAUUUCGAGUGGCGGACGGGUGAGUAACGCGUGGGUAACCUGCCUCAUACAGGGGGAUAACAGUUGGAAACGACUGUUAAUACCGCAUAAGACCACAGCACCGCAUGGUGCGGGGGUAAAAACUCCGGUGGUAUGAGAUGGACCCGCGUUCGAUUAGCCAGUUGGCGGGGUAACGGCCCACCAAAGCGACGAUCGAUAGCCGAUCUGAGAGGAUGACCGGCCACAUUGGGACUGAGACACGGCCCAAACUCCUACGGGAGGCAGCAGUGGGGAAUAUUGCACAAUGGGGGAAACCCUGAUGCAGCGACGCCGCGUGAGUGAAGAAGUAUUUCGGUAUGUAAAGCUCUAUCAGCAGGGAAGAAAAUGACGGUACCUGAGGAAGAAGCCCCGGCUAACUACGUG